Long non-coding RNA from Phycodurus eques (leafy seadragon), 5616 nucleotides. RefSeq lists it as uncharacterized. The record is from RefSeq and is a predicted model, not a curated record. NCBI's taxonomy places the organism in Eukaryota, Metazoa, Chordata, Actinopteri, Syngnathiformes, Syngnathidae. The transcript has 14 exons.
CAUCUCUGCAUCACUAUGGACGUUGAAUUACAGAUGGAACCCCUUGUAGUGAAUAUUCGAGUUAUUUUCUAAGCCACUGGGAGGCAUAUUGUUUGGAUGAGCGGCCGUGUCGUCAAUCAACUCAGCUGGGAAGUGAAACAACAACAACAGGUUCUUGGCCAUCCAUGCGCCCUACAAUGACGGCAGCCUACGUUUGGACAGGAUCGGGCAGGUUUCGGGCCGACGGCCGACAGACAUCUGGGAAAGGCGGACGGGACGCCGACCUGCGUUUGGACACGUAUGUUAAGCAACAGACACGAAAUCACAAAGGAAACCAAAUCGAAGUCUGAUGACAUCAGCAAUCGUUUCAUCGCUGCCUGGUGAAGUAGUCGGCCAGUGUGACGAGAGCGAGGACCGGUGUGCGGACCUAAGACAACAAGACAUCCGUGAGUUAAAAGUUAAGUCAACCUGUUGUGCAGCAAAUGAUCUUUGACACGAAACCUACCAGCGAGGAAGACAGGCGACUUGUUUUCUGGGCCUGAGCGCACUCGCACGGCUGCGUGACCGGGAAGCUGACAGUGUUCCGCUGCAACUCUGGAAGAAGGUGAAAAAUAAAAAACUGGAUCAAAGAAGAAUUGUGGAAUGAAGACAUUUCAAAGCGCGUACCGUCCAGGGGUCAAGGUCUCCCGCUGUUCCAAAAUUUGGCUUCAGCAUCUUGUGGAUGAAAGAAAGCAACAAGAAAAACAUUUUGGUGUGCAGCUCUGCUCCGUACAGUGAAUGCAGCAUUUCACUUUGUAGGAAAGAUGGCUCCAGAAUGACAAGGAACAUGGAAGUGGACACAGACUCCAUUUGCAUUUUUUUUGUGGUUAAGUGUCGACCGCAACCUUCGGCAGAAGCUGUUUGAGCGUGACGAGGAACCGUCUUUGUAUCAAACGUCUUCUGAAGACUCCACGGUGGUACAGACUUCUCCAGGAGACCUGAACACAACAAGAGAUUAACGGGGAACCAGUACAGCUGCUGUUUAAUAAAUGUAUUAGCAAGGCAUCAACAAAGAUUAACAGAGGUGAGGACAUUCUGCACGUUCAUGUAGAACUUUUCUCUUUGCCCAGCAGGUGGAGGAGCUUUCUGGCCGAGUUCCCGAUGGCACUUGGACUGGAAGCUGACCUGUAUGUGGAGUCAAAGAAAAAGCAGAAAUUUGACCAUGACGCCAUGUUUCCACCACCUACAACAACAAGAAACCAAGUAUUUGGAUUCAUCAAGUCUGUCUUUGCAAAAGGUUCCAACCUUGAUUGAAAUUUACUUCAGGAGAUCAGGUUCUCCAGGGAUCCUUCAGCGCCACCUGGUGGACGUGCGCAUGAAGAACAUUGCCUGGCUGCAGCACAUCUCAGAGUGCAACUGCAGAAGAGAGUUGUUAAAAACUUAACUGCUCAAUUUCUCAUGUCAGCUGUGUGUGUUUUUUUUUUUUUUUUUUUUUUAAAUCCCACCAUCUUGUUCCUCAGCUCCCAAUGACUUCAAACAAGAGGCUGUUGUAACUGCAGACAAAAGACAACAACAGACACUGCUGCAAAAUCAUCUCAGGUCGACUGGAACCUUCUGCUUGAACAAGUACUGGGACAAGAACCGUUUUUGUAUCAAAUGACUGAAGCCUUCAGAAUGGACUGGUGGCGCAGAGACUUCUCCGGGAGACCUGAACACAACAAGAGAUGAACGAGGGACCAGCCAAGCUCCUAUUUACAGGUCCAGGAUCUUGGUGGCAGAGUCCCCAAUGGCACUUUGACUGGAAGCUGACCUGCAAGUGGAGUCAAAGAAAAAACAGGUCCAAGCUUAGCGAUCUACUUCCCCUUCAGCUUGAACACAACUGCACAAGAACCAUCUCCGCAUCGAACAACUGAAGCCUUCACAGUGGACUGGUGGCGCAGAGACUUCUCCGGGAGACCUGAACACAACAAGAGAUGAACGAGGGACCAGCCAAGCUCCUAUUUACAAGUGCAGGAUCUUGGUGGCAGAGUCCCCCAUGGCACUUGGACUGGAAGCCGACCUGCAUGUGGAGUCAAAAAGAAAAAGCAGGUCCCAAGCUUCGAGAUCUACUUCACCAUUUGAUCCAUGAUCUCUAGGGAUCCUUCAGCACCACCUGGUGGACGUGAGCAGCAAGAACAUGCAAGUGUCCUGGCCCGAGAAGUUCUCCAUGAUGUCAAACAAGGGUGUCGUGACUGUGGACAAAAGAAAAACGAACGAGGGACCAGUGCAGGAUCUUGGUGGCAGAGUCUCUGAUUGCACUUUGACUGGAAGCAGACUUGCAUGUGGAGUCAAAAAGAAAAAGCUGGUGCCAAGCUUGGAGAUCUACUUCACCAGUUGAUCCAUGACCAGGUUCUCCUGGGAUCCUUACGCGCCACCUGGUGGACGUGAGCAGCAAGAACAUGCAAGUGUCCAGGAGCGAGAAGCUCUCUGACGUCCAUCAAGAGGCUGUCGUGACUGCAGACGGCAAAAGAAAAAGACAAGAAAGCUUACUGCUGGAAAGUCAUCUCAGGUGUCCUUACCCUCCUUCAGUCUCAUCUGCAGCUUUUUCUUCCUGUGGUGAUACAAGAGGUGCACAUUAAAGGUCAACACUGACAUCGAGUGCGUGUUCCCACCUAGACCGUGAUGUCACUGGUCUGCACAUGCUGAAGCAAAUUAGUCAAAUGUUUUUUUCCCCUCAUAUGAAACUUUGCCACCAGUGAGAGCAGGGCAGAGCUGGACAACUCGUCAGUGACGGCCUGAAAGACAACAAAAUUAGCGGUCGAGUUCUCCCAAUUCAACGUGACAGUUUCUUGACGUGCGUUUCAGGAGUAGACUGAAAAAAUACAAAACAAAUAAAAGUCUUAAACCUUGUCCCAAACGUCACAGGUGGUCAGCCAUUUUAAGGUCAAGUUGGCCAUUCUGUUGCAGAUUUGAACUUGUGGACAGAAAGGAGACAAUUAACACAAGCAUUUGAACGUCUUUCAUUCUGUUGGAUUGUGAAUAUGUACAAGUUUCGUCCAGAUCCCGAAAAAGCUUUGAGCCAAUACUUGAAUGAUAAAGCGUGCAUUCAGUUCUCCUCCUAUACCCCAAAUAAAUGUGUUUUGGUCUCAUUUCAACUCGUAAGCGACGUUAAUUGCCCACGGUGCCUCAAACGGUUUAGCUAGCACGCUAGCAAGGUGUUAGCACGACAAAGUGUUAAUUUAACUUACUUUUGAUGUUUUUCGGUCACUUCAACGUGCCCAAAAGACAGUGACUUAAACGAGGCUAAAGAAGUGAGCGUGAGCACUUACUCUGUCAAAGUUUUGUCGAUCUUGUGGAAACGACGGUGACGGAAUGCUGCCACAAAGAACGUUCGCCUUCGAAGUCCCCACUUAAAUAGGGGUUGGGUGAUGACGUAAUAACAUAAAAAAAGGAAAAAUACAUUUAAAAAAUGUAAACAAGAGCAUAGAAAGUGGGGCGACCCAUUGCCAAAUCGAGUUGAAAUAUUGUCACCAAUGGGGUUUGAACCCCAGCCACCUGAGUCGGAGUCCUCGACGCAAUUCACUAAGCCAGAAAUCAGACGGGAGAUUCGCCUGCGCGUGUCCGUAUUUGUCAAUCCUUUGACAAAGACGAGCAAAAGACUCCAUAAGUACAAGUAAAACGGCGUGAAAAUAGUUGAGCAAAGAUGGCCGAAUGGUUUCAUACGUUGACUUGUGACCAAGCGAGCCGUGUUCGAUCCUCACUGGUGCUCCAUUUAUAUUCACCAAUGGAGGCGCCACCUGCCGGAGUGUGUUUCAACAUACUUGGAGAAAUGUCGAGAAACUUCUAAGUCCGACAGAACAGUCCAGUUGCGAUCGAGUCAAAGUCCUGACAAGCAAGUGACCCUCGUGAAUGAGAAUUCACUUAUUAUCGAUGGGCUCAGGCGGGGCUCGAACCCGGGUCGCCGGAUCCGGAGGCAGCGUUUUAAAUUAUUAGCCUAUUUUUUUGGAAAUUUUUUGAUUUUUUCGGUCAUAUUUAUCGGGUCGGAACCGGACGAUAACGUUCAAAAGGUACCAGAUCAUUUGUAUUUUCAGAAUGGAAGUAGUCCAGUGUGUAGAGACACUGCCAACGCCGCUGGCGGCUCGGGUUCGAUCCUUCCUUCUGCUCCAUUUAUAUAUAUGAUAAACAUUAUAAAUGGAACAGAAACGGUGGGGAUCGAACCGAAGAUGCCAGAAGCGUAGGCGCAGUGUAUUAGACCACUCGACUAUCGAGUUUUUGAAGUCUUCGACUUCUGGUCCUCAUUUAUCAUUGUGUUUGGGUGGAGGAGGAGGAUCAAUACGUUUCCAAUGCCAAGAAUUGUUAAGCUGGAGUUGGUAUAGUGCGUAGCGAUGCUACCUAGGACGCAGGCUGCUCGGGUUCGAUCCUGCCUUCUGCUCCAUUUAUGGUUAUGUAUGUGGAAUAUAUUAUAAAUGUGACAGCGAGGGUGGGGAUCGAACCCGUGUCACCGGAACCGCGGGUAAAGUUUUAGACCACUGGACUAUCUCGGACGAUUCCGAUUUUCAUUUCCAAUGAAAAUGAGAUGUAAAAAAUAUUCGCAUUUUCGUAUUCAUCGCCAUUAGAUGAAGUUACACAUACCUUUUACAGAGAAUACAUUUGCACCGGAGAGUAGUCCAGUGAUACGGGUUGCUGACUCCUGCUAGCGAGACUCGGGUUCGAUCCUCGCCUGGUCUUCAGUUUAUAUUGUAUAUUUGGACGUUUUAAAUAAAGAGGAUAAAGCGGGCAUCGAACCCGCAUUGUCAGAAGAUGAGGUACUGUUUUAAACACCAGACCAGCUCGCCUGAAGGGCGAACGUGUUGGAGGUCAUAUUUACAGGAUUAGUGAUAUACAAGCCAGCAUCAAGGCCAAUUGGACUGAAAAUUUUGGAAUUUAUUGGUUCUAUUUAUGAAGUUGGAGCGCCGUUGGUUUUGUAUGAACACGUACGAAUCACCAAAGCCUGUCAGAUGGAAAAUAGCCACUGACUAUAAAUCUGGUUCGAUCCUUCCUUUGUCCAGCACUUAUAUUUCUCCGCGAUAUUUGUUAAUAAGUGGAGUCCAGAGUGGAACUCGAACCCUGGACACCCGAACCGGAGAUAAAGUUUUAGACCACUCGACCAUUUUAUCGGGCAGGUUUUGGAAUUUUGUGUUUUAUUUAUUGGUUCGUAAUCUCAAUUUAUACCCAAAAUGUUCACAAAGUUAGUCCAGUGGAUUGUGUUCUCGACUCUGAUUCUGGUGGCACGAAUUCGACCCUCACUUUGUCCUUCAUUUAUGGCCCUUCAUAAAUUUGAUUCAUAAAUGGGAUGCACAGGGGGACUCAAACCCGAUUCACCGGAACCUGAGGCCAAGUUUUAGACCGUUCGACUAUAUCUCUGGAGAGUUUUGUGAUUUUUAGGUUUGUCUAUGGGCUCAGGUCAUGCAGGGCAAGCCGCUAUUUGCCUGCAGUUACAGGAAGAAACUGACAGAGGUGCUCGGCCUCACUCUUGAAGAGGUCAACAUCCACCCUUGACAUGUUGGAGAGCUUUCAGAAAUUUGGGUUGUAUUUAUAGUUUGUCAUCCAAGUGACAGAAGAUGCAUCCCUUAACAUCCAACCUCAACUUUAUGGACAACCUCCCCCACACAAGCAAGCACGGCUUCAAAAUCACUAUGA